AUGCUGCAGGCCUGCACAACAGUGGCCCACACGAUAGUGGCAUCCUGGUCGGCGCGGGUGUUCAUCUCCAUCUCCGCAAUCACAAGCCCGACACUGAUCGCGGGCGAGCGUGCGCUCGCGCUGGGGCUCGAUGUGGACGUAGGAGAGGUGUGCGCCGUAGGUGAGGAGCCCCGCGCCGAAGGCAAAGAGUGCGACAGUGGAUAG
RNAcentral lists this ribosomal RNA (204 nucleotides) under Triticum aestivum (bread wheat). RNAcentral describes it as "partial small subunit ribosomal RNA". Lineage: Eukaryota; Viridiplantae; Streptophyta; Magnoliopsida; Poales; Poaceae. The record is from RNAcentral.